Molecule: ribosomal RNA, 218 nt
Filed under: uncultured fungus
Lineage: Eukaryota; Fungi
Description: partial small subunit ribosomal RNA
Rfam family: Eukaryotic small subunit ribosomal RNA (bases 87-218)
Source: RNAcentral
GAUAUGAUGCGUUGGUCCUGGGCUUCGGCUCUUGUGGCUUUUCGCGUCUAUCAUCCUUCGCCUUAGAUUUGUGGACCCGUCAAACGGUUUGCUGCUAUUGCGAUCAUUUACUUUGAAAAAAUUAGAGUGUUUAAAGCAGGCAUGCGCCUUGAAUACAUUAGCAUGGAAUAAUAAUAUAGGACUACUUGCCUAUUUUGUUGGUUUUCUGGUGUUUAGUA